RNAcentral lists this ribosomal RNA (465 nucleotides) under Vreelandella stevensii. RNAcentral's name for it is "partial 16S ribosomal RNA". It matches the Rfam family "Bacterial small subunit ribosomal RNA", at positions 338 to 795 of the family's 1533-position model. The record is from RNAcentral. Lineage: Bacteria; Pseudomonadati; Pseudomonadota; Gammaproteobacteria; Oceanospirillales; Halomonadaceae.
CCUACGGGGGGCUGCAGUGGGGAAUAUUGGACAAUGGGCGAAAGCCUGAUCCAGCCAUGCCGCGUGUGUGAAGAAGGCCUUCGGGUUGUAAAGCACUUUCAGUGGGGAAGAAAGCCUUGGGGCUAAUACCCUCGAGGAAGGACAUCACCCACAGAAGAAGCACCGGCUAACUCCGUGCCAGCAGCCGCGGUAAUACGGAGGGUGCGAGCGUUAAUCGGAAUUACUGGGCGUAAAGCGCGCGUAGGCGGUCUGAUAAGCCGGUUGUGAAAGCCCCGGGCUCAACCUGGGAACGGCAUCCGGAACUGUCAGGCUAGAGUGCAGGAGAGGAAGGUAGAAUUCCCGGUGUAGAGGUGAAAUGCGUAGAGAUCGGGAGGAAUACCAGUGGCGAAGGCGGCCUUCUGGACUGACACUGACGCUGAGGUGCGAAAGCGUGGGUAGCAAACAGGAUUAGAUACCCUGGUAGUC